RNAcentral lists this ribosomal RNA (650 nucleotides) under uncultured bacterium. RNAcentral describes it as "bacterial SSU rRNA". It matches the Rfam family "Bacterial small subunit ribosomal RNA", at positions 56 to 686 of the family's 1533-position model. The record is from RNAcentral.
UGCAGUCGAGCGAAUGGAUUCGAGAGCUUGCUCUCAAGAAGUUAGCGGCGGACGGGUGAGUAACACGUGGGUAACCUGCCCAUAAGACUGGGAUAACUCCGGGAAACCGGGGCUAAUACCGGAUAACAUUUUGAACUGCAUGGUUCGAAAUUGAAAGGCGGCUUCGGCUGUCACUUAUGGAUGGACCCGCGUCGCAUUAGCUAGUUGGUGAGGUAACGGCUCACCAAGGCAACGAUGCGUAGCCGACCUGAGAGGGUGAUCGGCCACACUGGGACUGAGACACGGCCCAGACUCCUACGGGAGGCAGCAGUAGGGAAUCUUCCGCAAUGGACGAAAGUCUGACGGAGCAACGCCGCGUGAGUGAUGAAGGCUUUCGGGUCGUAAAACUCUGUUGUUAGGGAAGAACAAGUGCUAGUUGAAUAAGCUGGCACCUUGACGGUACCUAACCAGAAAGCCACGGCUAACUACGUGCCAGCAGCCGCGGUAAUACGUAGGUGGCAAGCGUUAUCCGGAAUUAUUGGGCGUAAAGCGCGCGCAGGUGGUUUCUUAAGUCUGAUGUGAAAGCCCACGGCUCAACCGUGGAGGGUCAUUGGAAACUGGGAGACUUGAGUGCAGAAGAGGAAAGUGGAAUUCCAUGUGUAGCGGUGAAA